This 497-nucleotide ribosomal RNA is filed under the name uncultured bacterium. Its description in RNAcentral is "partial 16S ribosomal RNA". It matches the Rfam family "Bacterial small subunit ribosomal RNA", at positions 28 to 507 of the family's 1533-position model. The record is from RNAcentral.
GAUGAACGCUGGCGGCGUGCCUAAUACAUGCAAGUCGAGCGAACAGACGAGGAGCUUGCUCCUCUGACGUUAGCGGCGGACGGGUGAGUAACACGUGGAUAACCUACCUAUAAGACUGGGAUAACUUCGGGAAACCGGAGCUAAUACCGGAUAAUAUAUUGAACCGCAUGGUUCAAUAGUGAAAGACGGUUUUGCUGUCACUUAUAGAUGGAUCCGCGCCGCAUUAGCUAGUUGGUAAGGUAACGGCUUACCAAGGCAACGAUGCGUAGCCGGCCUGAGAGGGUGAUCGGCCGCACUGGAACUGAGACACGGUCCAGACUCCUACGGGAGGCAGCAGUAGGGAAUCUUCCGCAAUGGGCGAAAGCCUGACGGAGCAACGCCGCGUGAGUGAUGAAGGUCUUCGGAUCGUAAAACUCUGUUAUUAGGGAAGAACAAAUGUGUAAGUAACUAUGCACGUCUUGACGGUACCUAAUCAGAAAGCCACGGCUAACUACGUG